GUCCACGCCGUAAACGAUGAGCACUAGCUGUCGGGGGUAUCGACCCCUCCGGUAGCGCAGCUAACGCGAUAAGUGCUCCGCCUGGGGGACUACGGCCGCAAGGCUAAAACUCAAAGGAAUUGACGGGGGCCCGCACAAGCAGCGGAGCGUGCGGUUUAAUUCGAAGCUACGCGAAGAACCUUACCAGGGCUUGACAUGUACGGGACCGCCGGUGAAAGCCGGUUUUCUCUUCGGAGCCCGUGCACAGAUGCUGCAUGGCUGUCGU
Molecule: ribosomal RNA, 265 nt
Filed under: uncultured bacterium
Lineage: Bacteria
Description: partial 16S ribosomal RNA
Rfam family: Bacterial small subunit ribosomal RNA
Source: RNAcentral